Molecule: long non-coding RNA, 866 nt
Organism: Gadus macrocephalus (Pacific cod)
Lineage: Eukaryota; Metazoa; Chordata; Actinopteri; Gadiformes; Gadidae
Exons: 2
Source: RefSeq, a predicted model, not a curated record
AUAGAGAGAGACACUGAUGAACUGGGGAGCCAUGCUCUAACAACGUUCAGAGGCUUGUAACAGUCUACUGAGUCUGACACGGUGCUUAAAUGGGCUCUGGAGACGCAGGAAUGUUGUUGGAUUCAACUAUUUGUGCAUGGAAGCAAAAAAAUAUCUCCCCAUCAAGGCCAACAGCAGAAUAGACUGAUAUGAAUGCUUCAAAUAUUAAAACCCGAUUGAUUAGGCCUAUGCCGACAUAAUAUCAGUCCUAAUCCUGAACGCACCGUGCGUACAUUUUUCACGGCAUUUUCCCCCAGACAGACAGACAGACAGACAGACAGACAGACAGACAGACAGACAGACAGACAGACAGACAGACAGACAGACAGACAGACACUUUAUUUACCCCAAACUAACUUUCAUAAUCCAGCAGGUUACACAAUACAAAUAACUCUUACACAAAUACAGACAGCCUAUACAGUAGGCUAAUACAGCGCCCACCUCAGCAAAAGGUAAAAUGUAAAAAGAAGAUAUAAGCUACAUUUAAAAUACAGAUGCUGUAGCCUACAUAAAAAUACAGAUGCCACAUGAAAUAUGAAAAUAGGAUGCAAUGUAUAAAUAUGCAAAACUAGGAUAUAACUAGGCUAUAAUGAGAAUAUUUGGUUAACUUACAUCUGUGCAAUGACUAUCCUCCUAAAUUAAAUUAGUUAGAUGGAAAGAUUUUUGUCUAUGGAAUGAUCCUGUCACUUUACUGCCACACAUUGUGUGUGUCAGUAAAGUGAUGAGGUAGGAGAAUCCGUGUAUGGAUUGUUUUUUGGUUUUUCAGAUUUGGUUUUGAAACUGAAAAAGGGCAAAAGGAAUAAACAAAUAAACGGCAUUUGAUUUUG